Molecule: ribosomal RNA, 492 nt
Filed under: uncultured bacterium
Lineage: Bacteria
Description: partial 16S ribosomal RNA
Rfam family: Bacterial small subunit ribosomal RNA
Source: RNAcentral
AGUGAACGCUGGCGGUAGGCCUAACACAUGCAAGUCGAACGGCAGCACAGUAAGAGCUUGCUCUUACGGGUGGCGAGUGGCGGACGGGUGAGGAAUACAUCGGAAUCUACUUUUUCGUGGGGGAUAACGUAGGGAAACUUACGCUAAUACCGCAUACGACCUACGGGUGAAAGCAGGGGAUCUUCGGCCCUUGCGCGAUUGAUUGAGCCGAUGUCGGAUUAGCUAGUUGGCGGGGUAAAGGCCCACCAAGGCGACGAUCCGUAGCUGGUCUGAGAGGAUGAUCAGCAACACUGGAACGGAGACACGGUCAAGACGCCUACGGGAGGAAGCAGUGGGGAAUAUUGGACAAUGGGCGCAAGCCUGAUCCAGCCAUACCGAGUGGGUGAAGAAGGCCUUCGGGUUGGAAAGCCCUUUUGUUGGGAAAGAAAAGAAGCAGGUUAAUACCCCGCUGUUCUGACGGUACCCAAAGAAUAAGCACCGGCUAACUUCGUG